This 492-nucleotide ribosomal RNA is filed under the name uncultured bacterium. Its description in RNAcentral is "partial 16S ribosomal RNA". It matches the Rfam family "Bacterial small subunit ribosomal RNA", at positions 30 to 507 of the family's 1533-position model. The record is from RNAcentral.
AAUGAACGCUGGCGGUAGGCCUAACACAUGCAAGUCGAACGGCAGCACAGUAAGAGCUUGCUCUUACGGGUGGCGAGUGGCGGACGGUUGCGGAAUACAUCGGAAUCUACUUUUUCGUGGGGGAUAACGUAGGAAAAUUUACGCUAAUACCGGAUACGACCUACGGGUGUGAGCAGGGGAUCUUCUGACCUUGCGGGAGUGAAAAAGCCGAGGUCGGAUUAGCUAGAUGGCGGGGGAAAGGCACAACAAGGCGACGAUCCGUAGCUGGUAUGAGAGGAUGAUUCGCCACACUGGAACUGAGAAAGGGACCAGACACCGAAGGGAGGCCGCAGUGGGGAAUAUUGCACAAAGGACGCAAGGGUGAUCCAGCAAUACCGCGUGGGGGAAGAACGCCUUCAGGUUGGAAAGCCCUUUUGGUGGGAAAGAAAAGCAGCACGUUAAUACCGCGUGGUUAUGACGGUACCCAAAGAAUAAGCACCGGCUAACUUCGUG